This 28-nucleotide small RNA is filed under the name Bombyx mori (domestic silkworm). RNAcentral describes it as "ovarian small RNA-15575". Lineage: Eukaryota; Metazoa; Arthropoda; Insecta; Lepidoptera; Bombycidae. The record is from RNAcentral.
GACGCUUCUAAAAAAACUAAACGAAGUG